Molecule: long non-coding RNA, 235 nt
Filed under: Elaeis guineensis (African oil palm)
Lineage: Eukaryota; Viridiplantae; Streptophyta; Magnoliopsida; Arecales; Arecaceae
Description: long non-coding RNA (EGUI_LNC060055)
Source: RNAcentral
UAUAAAAUACCCCCCUGGUCGAAGUUUGCAAAAGACCGAUCCUUCGGGGCUCUUCCGUCUCCCGACCUUGUAUAUGGCACCUCUCCGAACUCCCUCGGCUGUCCGGACUUCUCCAACAAUGGACUUCUGUGUUCACCCACCGGGCCGCCCCAAAGGCCCUUUGGGCCUCACUGACGAUCCACCUCCUACAGCAGCCAACCAUUCCUUGAGUCUCUCCUGGACUUCUUCCGACCAC